RNAcentral lists this ribosomal RNA (399 nucleotides) under uncultured bacterium. RNAcentral describes it as "bacterial SSU rRNA". It matches the Rfam family "Bacterial small subunit ribosomal RNA", at positions 509 to 910 of the family's 1533-position model. The record is from RNAcentral.
CAGCAGCCGCGGUAAUACGGAGGGUGCAAGCGUUAUCCGGAUUCACUGGGUUUAAAGGGUGUGUAGGCGGGCAUUUAAGUCUGGGGUGAAAUCUCCGAGCUCAACUCGGAAACUGCCUUGGAUACUAUUUGUCUUGAAUUAUGUUGAGGUAGGCGGAAUAUAACAUGUAGCGGUGAAAUGCAUAGAUAUGUUAUAGAACACCGAUUGCGAAGGCAGCUUACUAAGCAUAUAUUGACGCUGAGGCACGAAAGCGUGGGGAUCAAACAGGAUUAGAUACCCUGGUAGUCCACGCCCUAAACGAUGAUUACUCGUCAUUUGUGAUACACUAUAAGUGACCAAGCGAAAGCGUUAAGUAAUCCACCUGGGAAGUACGUCCGCAAGGAUGAAACUCAAAGGAAU